This 492-nucleotide ribosomal RNA is filed under the name uncultured bacterium. RNAcentral's name for it is "partial 16S ribosomal RNA". It matches the Rfam family "Bacterial small subunit ribosomal RNA", at positions 29 to 507 of the family's 1533-position model. The record is from RNAcentral.
AGUGAACGCUGGCGGUAGGCCUAACACAUGCAAGUCGAACGGCAGCACAGUAAGAGCUUGCUCUUACGGGUGGCGAGUGGCGGACGGGUGAGGAAUACAUCGGAAUCUACUUUUUCGUGGGGGAUAACGUAGGGAAACUUACGCUAAUACCGCAUACGACCUACGGGCGAAAGCAGGGGAUCUUCGGACCUUGCGCGAUUGAAUGAGCCGAUGUCGGAUUAGCUAGUUGGCGGGGUAAAGGCCCACCAAGGCGACGAUCCGUAGCUGGUCUGAGAGGAUGAUCAGCCACACUGGAACUGAGACACGGUCCAGACUCCUACGGGAGGCAGCAGUGGGGAAUAUUGGACAAUGGGCGCAAGCCUGAUCCAGCCAUACCGCGUGGGUGAAGAAGGCCUUCGGGUUGUAAAGCCCUUUUGUUGGGAAAGAAAAGCAGCAGGUUAAUACCCCGCCGUUCUGACGGUACCCAAAGAAUAAGCACCGGCUAACUUCGUG